Cebus imitator (Panamanian white-faced capuchin) is the source of this 1060-nucleotide long non-coding RNA. RefSeq lists it as uncharacterized. The transcript has 2 exons. NCBI's taxonomy places the organism in Eukaryota, Metazoa, Chordata, Mammalia, Primates, Cebidae. The record is from RefSeq and is a predicted model, not a curated record.
CCAAGACUUUCUGACACCAAAAAGUUACGCAGAAGAUUCAUCUGCCGGGCUGGGCUCUUAGGAAUCUGUCCAGGUGCCCCAGUGGAAUCAGCCCGAGUGUCUUCGUUCCUGAUAAGUGCUUUCCUGGGAAGCAUUUAGCACAUCCUGAACCAAGCACAGGCACCGAAUGUGGAGAUCAAUUAUGCAGCUACAGCCAAAACCAAGCUCUCUUUAUUGCAAUGGUAAUGAAAGUAGCUCCAUGUAAGUCAUUGGAAGGUCACGUGUUCACAGACUGUCAGCUGUGGAGGGUUAUGUAACAGUGGUUAUGCAAUGCCAUGUUAGAACUGCAGCCCCAGCAGCAAAACAUUUCGUUAUUUUCUUGAAUUAAAAUAAGACUUCCACUUUCUUUGAGUGACAAAUCGCUUUUAACAAAACCAAGACUUGGGUUUUAGUGUUCACUCCCACGCGAGUCUCUGUAAGCCACAUUUCACCUCCUGUGCGUGGCUGGUCCCAUUGAGUAGAUUUCUGAAAGUAAAAUUUCUGACAUGAGCCUAUUCACUCUGCUCAGUUGUCAUCUUCUGUCAGGAUGAGUUAUGGGCAAAUCCCCCCAUGAAAUCUACGGCACAUCAUGAAGCCCCUCAAAUCUGAAGGGCUUGCUGGUAUGAUGGCUCACGCCUGUAAUCCCAGAACUUUGGAAGGCCGAGGUGGGUGGAUCUCUUAAGGUCAGGAGUUUGAGACCAGCCUGGCCAACAUGGUGAGACCUCGUCUCUACUAAAAAUAGAAAAAUUAGCCUGGCCUGGUGGCACAUGCCUAUAAUCCCAGCUACUCAGGAGGUCAGGGCAAGAGAAUCACUUGAACCCAGGAGGUGGAGGUUGCAGUGAGCCAAGAUCACCCCACUGCAUUCCAGCCUGGGUGACAGAGUGAGACUCAAAAAAAAAAAAAAAAACCCUAAGGCUCAUGAGUCUCCUUCACUAAUGUACUGUCUUUGUUCCAAGAUACUUCACCCCUUUAAAAGUUAAUAGGGGAGAUCAAGAGGAGAUAUUGAGAGAUCAAAAUGAAAUAAAGCCUUCACUUCCUCUGA